Long non-coding RNA from Neogale vison (American mink), 684 nucleotides. RefSeq lists it as uncharacterized. Lineage: Eukaryota; Metazoa; Chordata; Mammalia; Carnivora; Mustelidae. The record is from RefSeq and is a predicted model, not a curated record. The transcript has 3 exons.
AAAUAUUUAUUAAGCAACUGCAGAGAACCGAGGUGAACUUGGCACUGAGAGAUGCUUGAAAGGCAGAUAAGAUCCCUGUCUUCAAGGGGCCUACAAGGCAGAGGGGAGACAAAAGGAAAGAAGCCCAAUUUACCUUAGAUCUGCGAAGUUAUCCAGAAGCGAGAGGGUGAAGAGCUUGGCUGGUUUGAACCAGAAAGAAACCUGCUCAAGGACUGUUCUCUUAUCCAGAGCAAGGCCCUGGUCUCCAUGGCUUAUUCAAAGUGAUACACGGACUGCUGUCCAGAGGCGUCUCAGCAGCCUGAGGAUCCAUGAGCAAACCAGAGAAGAGCUCCCCAGAGCCUUCCACCCACCUCCACGCUCACCCAGGGCUCUACUAUUCAAAACAGCUGCAAAUGUGCGCCCUGCUCUCCCCAACAAGAAAACAGAACAGAACAUGGCUGUCUCUGCCAAAGGACACUCUCAAUUCUCCACCUCAAAGUUUUCAUCCACUUCCUCCUCUGGAAAUGGGCCGGCUCCAACUGGCGGCGAGUCCAAACACCUGAAUGAAGACAGGAGCACGUCUGUGUGGGUCAGGGGCACAGAGGGCGUGAUGCCAACCAGGCCUAGAAGAGGGACCUCGGGGGCGCCUGGGUGGCUCAGUGGGUUAAAGCCUCUGCCUUCGGCUCAGGUCAUGAUCCCAGGGUU